UAGAGUAACGCGUGAGGAACCUGCCUCAUACAGGGGGAUAACAGCUAGAAAUGGCUGCUAAUACCGCAUAAGCGCACAGUAUCGCAUGAUACGGUGUGAAAAGCCGAGACGGUAUGAGAUGGACCCGCGUCUGAUUAGCUAGUUGGUGGGGUAACGGCCCACCAAGGCGACGAUCAGUAGCCGACCUGAGAGGGUGACCGGCCACAUUGGGACUGAGACACGGCCCAAACUCCUACGGGAGGCAGCAUG
This 249-nucleotide ribosomal RNA is filed under the name uncultured bacterium. RNAcentral describes it as "partial 16S ribosomal RNA". It matches the Rfam family "Bacterial small subunit ribosomal RNA", at positions 107 to 353 of the family's 1533-position model. The record is from RNAcentral.